CAAGAUGAACUACAAGUUUUUUUUAUAGUUCUUCUUGUAUUUGUAAAUAUUUCAUUAAUUGCAAUCAAGACUAGAAAUACUUGUGUUAAAUUUUCCGUGCAUAUGAUAAAUUUAAGCUAAAGUACACCAAACGCAAAUUCACUUUUAGAAUACGACGACCGAACCCAUAUUAUGAAUAAGGUACUAUAUUUUAGAUCUUUAAAAAAUGAGCGCGAAGAUUUUCUCUCUUUUAUUAUUACUUCUUGUAAGUGAAAUUACAAUUGACACAAACAGAUUACACCG
Molecule: long non-coding RNA, 282 nt
Filed under: Mytilus galloprovincialis (Mediterranean mussel)
Lineage: Eukaryota; Metazoa; Mollusca; Bivalvia; Mytilida; Mytilidae
Source: RNAcentral